CUCUAUCAAGGUCCUCCAAAAGCCAGCCCCUCUUUACCUUCCUUUGUAAAGGAUUUGAUCUCUCUCUCCCUGAGUCUCUCCUCUAGCUGACCUGACCCUUCAGAUGGGAUCCCACAGAAGGUAGCUGUCUGUCUACCUGGGACACUGUCUGGUUUCCUGACCCUACUCCACUUCACCCCAACCUGUAAGAGACAGGGCACCACCAGCACAGGGCUCUGUGAGGCCACCUCCAGACCCCAACGCACCCUCAUCAGCCUGCAGCUCAGGGGUGACGUCAGUGCGGAAUCCCGGGGUCCGCGUUGACUGACAGCUGUGGCAUCCAAUGACACCACAUGCCGGGCCAGUUCUUUGACCCGUUCUGAAGCUCAGGCUCCCG
This 376-nucleotide long non-coding RNA is filed under the name Mustela putorius furo (domestic ferret). Its description in RNAcentral is "lncRNA (ENSMPUG00000024735.1)". The record is from RNAcentral. Lineage: Eukaryota; Metazoa; Chordata; Mammalia; Carnivora; Mustelidae.